CCUACGGGCGGCAGCAGUGGGGAAUAUUGCACAAUGGGGGAAACCCUGAUGCAGCGACGCCGCGUGAGCGAAGAAGUAAUUCGUUACGUAAAGCUCUAUCAGCAGGGACGAAAAUGACGGUACCUGAGUAAGAAGCCCCGGCUAACUACGUGCCAGCAGCCGCGGUAAUACGUAGGGGGCCAGCGUUAUCCGGAUUUACUGGGGGGAAAGGGAGCGUAGACGGGGCGGCAAGUCUGGAGGGAAAUGCCGCAGCUUAACUGCGGAACUGCUUUGGAAACUGGCGAACUAGAGUGCGGGAGGGGUAAGCGGAAUUCCUAGUGUAGCGGUGAAAUGCGUAGAUAUUAGGAGGAACACCGGUGGCGAAGGCGGCUUACUGGACCGUAACUGACGUUGAGGCUCGAAAGCGUGGGGAGCAAACAGGAUUAGAUACCCGUGUAGUC
RNAcentral lists this ribosomal RNA (440 nucleotides) under uncultured bacterium. Its description in RNAcentral is "partial 16S ribosomal RNA". It matches the Rfam family "Bacterial small subunit ribosomal RNA", at positions 338 to 795 of the family's 1533-position model. The record is from RNAcentral.